UAACAGAGCAAAAUCCCCAAACAAAAAGCAAAAACAAAACAUAAUCGAAACCCUAAAAUAAAAAGUGAAAAAUAGUCUAUUAUCGCCAUUCUUCACUACCAAAAUGACCAAAACCUCCACGCUAAACUCACCAAAGAACAAUGGAAUAGGAAAGGACAUUGAGGGAACCCUUUUUCCCAUAGCAUGAAAACUUUAAUCCCAAAUAGACCCGUAUCAAUAUGACUUCACGGCAGAUCUAUCCACCUCCAAUCCUUCGCUACAAUCUCACGAACCUCUGGAGGAACUUACUCUAUUCAGAACCGGUCACUCACACUUUGUCGACCAAUCAUCGUCGUUGUAUGUGCAGCCAUAUUACAACUUCUAGGAGUGAAUUUAAAACAACAUGGCUCAAAACUUCUCACAGAGCUUUCGUAUCCUAGGAAAAUUGGAGCCCAUGUAGAACCGCUAUCGCCUCUACCAUGAAAAUCGUAUUGACUUAGUGAUUGUGGAGGAGUCCAAUGAGCUGCAGCAAUUUGAUGAGGGUGCCCCAAAACUGAACUCAACAUUUGAUAUUCUUUACCAUAACCUUGAACAAAGGUAACGACAUCAUUAAUACUUUGCGAAAUUCCUUUAUGGAUGAAUUUAUUUCAAGCAUACUGCCAUGCCCAAAUUGUAAUAGCAGCAAGUUCUUUUUUGUCAUUAUUUGAAUGCUCAAAAAUCCGACAUAACCAAUCCACUAAA
This is a long non-coding RNA of Gossypium arboreum, 720 nucleotides long. RefSeq lists it as uncharacterized. The record is from RefSeq and is a predicted model, not a curated record. The transcript is spliced from 3 exons. NCBI's taxonomy places the organism in Eukaryota, Viridiplantae, Streptophyta, Magnoliopsida, Malvales, Malvaceae.